This 151-nucleotide microRNA precursor is filed under the name Cajanus cajan (pigeon pea). Its description in RNAcentral is "miRNA gene-KK1_032894". Lineage: Eukaryota; Viridiplantae; Streptophyta; Magnoliopsida; Fabales; Fabaceae. The record is from RNAcentral.
AUCUUCAAUUUUUUAGAAAAUUUAAAAAUUAUUUGAUAAUUCAUUUCAUUAAUUCAAAUUGAUGAAUAAUCAUAAAUUCAUUUUAUACAUUGAUUUGAAUUAAUGAAACGAAGUAUCAAAUAGUUUUCAAAAUUUUUAAAAAUUUAUAGAU